AACAAAUAUUAGUGAAUUAGGUUCAAAGUCAAAUGGCGUUUUAAAAGUUUUAAUCACGUGUCGAAAGAUAAGGCAGUAAAUUUACGUGGCUACAAAGUGUUCUUUGACAAUACACCUCUAUUUCAAAUUCUCUUUGCUGUUAGUUACCCAAAUCAGUUGAACAGUUUGCUACUUUGCUGUGCGGUAUUUAGAGCACCAACAUAGGUCUUGACUGGCUUAAAAAGUUAAAAUGCUCAGAGUUUUUGUAUGUUUUUGAUUCGUUAUUUUUGUUGCAUGUAGAGACGGCCCAAUGAUGCUAUUUUGAGGUCAUUUACUGAAAAUAGGUCCGUUGGCACUGUUUGAUGUAUCUUUCUAAUCAUGCUCUACCCGUUCCUCGCCUUUACCAUUACUACCGAUCAGAUUUGAUAACGGCACUGUCACAAGAACUUACAUUAUUCAGUCAGCGGCAGUAAUGCAGUUGGCAGUAAUGUCGCGUUACAAAUACUGCGGCAGUAGUGCAGCUGCGGUUGGGAAUCCGAACGUUACCUUUACAUUGUUUACCUAUAGAGUAGUGGUCGACCUGGGGUAUCUUGCUGUAGGUUGUUUAUACGUUGCGCUUUAAGUUUAUUUGUAUAAUUUAAAACGCAGCAGUGACAGCGAAGUAUUCACACACACACUCAAAACGUUUUACCUAUGACCAAAAUAAAAUUCAUGAAACGGAACGCAAACUUGUCAUGAUUGACAGAUGUCAAAGUCAGAAAGCCCAUGAAAUGCGGGAAUCAAGUUUCAACAAAAUAUGUUGUAUACGUGCGAAAUAUGUUUAAAAAAUUCACCACGUCGUACAGGACGAUCAACGAAACUCUCGACUUCUUUAAGAGCAGUCAGGUGGAUACAUCUCUCAAUAUGUUCGUAAUCUCAGAGAGCGUCUAAAGCGAGCAAUCCGAUGAUAGCUUUAUGCUCGACGACAUUGGAAUGACGAAGAUUGGAUCAAUGCGAAAUUAGCUCAAAUUCAAAAUACGGAUACAGAAGAUGACGUUUUAUUUCGUGAGUGAGCCAUCCAUCAAUUUGUGUCAACAAGAACAGUCCCAAAGCAUCCAAGAAAGUACCAGUGUUUCUAUUACUGACUUGAUUAUAUAAAUCAUGCUAUUUAUUUAAUAAUUUCAAGUAAUACUAACUACAUUUAUAGCAAUUAAAAUAUAUGUCUGA
Molecule: long non-coding RNA, 1185 nt
Organism: Cydia pomonella (codling moth)
Lineage: Eukaryota; Metazoa; Arthropoda; Insecta; Lepidoptera; Tortricidae
Exons: 3
Source: RefSeq, a predicted model, not a curated record